RNAcentral lists this long non-coding RNA (210 nucleotides) under Elaeis guineensis (African oil palm). RNAcentral describes it as "long non-coding RNA (EGUI_LNC069548)". Lineage: Eukaryota; Viridiplantae; Streptophyta; Magnoliopsida; Arecales; Arecaceae. The record is from RNAcentral.
GCAUGGGUCUUUUGAUUCUUGAAGAUUUAGCUUUCCUCCUAACUUAGCUUCGAUAGUCCCGAAAACAUAAAAAAAAAUAAACUAAAAUUAAAAAGAUAUCAAAAUACAAAAGCUAGAUUACCUUCCAAUAAGUACUAAGUUUAAAGUCUCCAGUCAGACUUCAAAACUCUUUCACGGUGGUUCGUAUAGGAUCAUGGCCUCCCCUAUUUC